This 81-nucleotide small nucleolar RNA is filed under the name Setaria italica (foxtail millet). Its description in RNAcentral is "snoRNA U54". It matches the Rfam family "Small nucleolar RNA U54". From Rfam's summary of the family: U54 is a C/D box small nucleolar RNA, which acts as a methylation guide for 18S ribosomal RNA in plants. The record is from Rfam by way of RNAcentral. Lineage: Eukaryota; Viridiplantae; Streptophyta; Magnoliopsida; Poales; Poaceae.
ACCUCAGUGAUUUCUACCAGUCACUCUGGUUAUAUACGCUAUUCUGAUUGCUGCUGCUGAAAAACAGUAUUUAUGAGAGUU